Molecule: ribosomal RNA, 305 nt
Filed under: uncultured bacterium
Lineage: Bacteria
Description: bacterial SSU rRNA
Rfam family: Bacterial small subunit ribosomal RNA
Source: RNAcentral
AAUCCUACGGGGCGCAGCAGUGGGGAAUAUUGCACAAUGGGGGAAAUCCUGAUGCAGCGACGCCGGGUGAGUGAGGAAGUAUUUCGGUAUGUAAAGCUCUAUCAGCAGGGAAGAAAAUGACGGUACCUGACUAAGAAGCCCCGGCUAACUACGUGCCAGCAGCCGCGGUAAUACGUAGGGGGCAAGCGUUAUCCGGAUUUACUGGGUGUAAAGGGAGCGUAGACGGGCUUGCAAGUCUGAUGUGAAAAUCCGGGGCCCAACCCCGGAACUGCAUUGGAAACUGUAUAUCUCGAGUGUCGGAGAGG